CAGUAGCCGCGGUAACACGAAGGGGGCUAGCGUUGCUCGGAAUUACUGGGCGUAAAGGGAGCGUAGGCGGAUGUUUAAGUCAGAGGUGAAAGCCCAGGGCUCAACCUUGGAACUGCCUUUGAUACUGGACAUCUUGAGUGUGGGAGAGGUAAGCGGAACUCCGAGUGUAGAGGUGAAAUUCGUAGAUAUUCGGAAGAACACCAGUGGCGAAGGCGGCUUACUGGCCCAUUACUGACGCUGAGGCUCGAAAGCGUGGGGAGCAAACAGGAUUAGAUACCCCUGUAGUCCCUGUCUCUUAUAC
This 301-nucleotide ribosomal RNA is filed under the name uncultured bacterium. RNAcentral's name for it is "partial 16S ribosomal RNA". It matches the Rfam family "Bacterial small subunit ribosomal RNA", at positions 509 to 807 of the family's 1533-position model. The record is from RNAcentral.